UACAUAGGUCCCAAGCGUUGUUCGGAUUCACUGGGCGUAAAGGGUGCGUAGGUGGUGGGGUAAGUCGGAUGUGAAAGCUCGGAGCUCAACUCCGAAAUGGCAUUGGAAACUACCCUGCUAGAGGAUUGGAGGGGGGACUGGAAUACUUGGUGUAGCAGUGAAAUGCGUAGAUAUCAAGUGGAACACCAGUGGCGAAGGCGAGUCCCUGGACAAUACCUGACACUGAGGCACGAAAGCUAGGGGAGCAAGCGGG
This 253-nucleotide ribosomal RNA is filed under the name uncultured bacterium. Its description in RNAcentral is "partial 16S ribosomal RNA". It matches the Rfam family "Bacterial small subunit ribosomal RNA", at positions 524 to 776 of the family's 1533-position model. The record is from RNAcentral.